GUUGUUACUUGUUUCGCUUUCUAAAUUGUCUUUCUUUUCUUUAUUUAUUAAUUAUGGUGAUUAAACAAUUAAGUAAAUUAUCUUUGUACGUUUAACGAUCUAAUUAAAGGGGUUCACUUUUAAUACUAAACUAAUCAGUUUACUUUUUGAUUCUGUUCUUUUCACUGAGACAUGGGAUUUAAUUGUGUGGAACAAUUAACACUGGUUUAAUCUAUUUAUUGGUUACAAUAGAGGUCAACUCAAGGAGGAUUUACUUGUUAAUCACUAACCAGUUCUAAUUAUAUCAACUAUCUCUUUCUCUCUCUUGUUCAUAAUCAAGGAGAUAGAAAAACUCAGAGUUGGUUCAGUUUUAAGCUUUUUUUUCAUAUCAUUUUCUCUUGAUUAUAUCUCCUUGAUUAGUAUUUUGAAUUACAUUGAUGUUGAGAGUUGAUUAAAUCUUAAUGGUAUUUGGUAAGAUAAUUGAUUGUAAUCAAAUGUAUUGAUAAUUUACCUUGUCGAGGAUAAUCAGCUGCAAUCAUCUUUCCUUUUUCUUUGUUUAGUAUCAGAUUGACAACAAGAUUUUCGCGCUGGUGGUAAUAUUCCUGUAAGAUUUGGACAAUAACAACGUGUUACAAUUAAGUGAACCAAGUGAAUUAACAAAUUACAAAGACAAGGAAAAGAAAACAACAAAGAAAAAGUGAUCAACUUACCAAGUGGAUUCUUUAAAAUCAAUGGACAAUAUUAGAUUUGAAUCUAAUAAUAAGAUUUUAUGGUUGUUGUUGUUGUUAUGGAAAAUUUAACUUUCCUUAAAUUUGGUAAUAACAAUUAGUAUAAAUUAGAAUUGAUUAGUUUAUGAAAA
This is a long non-coding RNA of Panonychus citri (citrus red mite), 838 nucleotides long. RefSeq lists it as uncharacterized. Lineage: Eukaryota; Metazoa; Arthropoda; Arachnida; Trombidiformes; Tetranychidae. The transcript is spliced from 2 exons. The record is from RefSeq and is a predicted model, not a curated record.